RNAcentral lists this transfer RNA (72 nucleotides) under Eubacteriales bacterium. Its description in RNAcentral is "tRNA-Glu". It matches the Rfam family "tRNA". Rfam says of the family: Transfer RNA (tRNA) molecules are approximately 80 nucleotides in length. Their secondary structure includes four short double-helical elements and three loops (D, anti-codon, and T loops). Further hydrogen bonds mediate the characteristic L-shaped molecular structure. tRNAs have two regions of fundamental functional importance: the anti-codon, which is responsible for specific mRNA codon recognition, and the 3' end, to which the tRNAs corresponding amino acid is attached (by aminoacyl-tRNA synthetases). tRNAs cope with the degeneracy of the genetic code in two manners: having more than one tRNA (with a specific anti-codon) for a particular amino acid; and 'wobble' base-pairing, i.e. permitting non-standard base-pairing at the 3rd anti-codon position. Lineage: Bacteria; Bacillati; Bacillota; Clostridia; Eubacteriales. The record is from RNAcentral.
GGCCUAUUGGUCAAGGGGUUAAGACGCAGCCCUCUCAAGGCUGAAUCACGAGUUCAACUCUCGUAUAGGUCA